Molecule: non-coding RNA, 61 nt
Filed under: Paraburkholderia silvatlantica
Lineage: Bacteria; Pseudomonadati; Pseudomonadota; Betaproteobacteria; Burkholderiales; Burkholderiaceae
Description: toxic small RNA
Rfam family: Betaproteobacteria toxic small RNA
About the family: Overexpression in amino aid rich medium attenuates growth, suggesting role in repressing amino acid intake and metabolism.
Source: RNAcentral
CGUCUCCUCCAUGUCUCUUUCUGAUAUGGAUUCAGCCCGCUCUCGCAGCGGGUUUUUUCUU